CCUACGGGAGGCAGCAGUGGGGAAUAUUGCACAAUGGGGGAAACCCUGAUGCAGCGACGCCGCGUGAGUGAAGAAGUAUUUCGGUACGUAAAGCUCUAUCAGCAGGGAAGAAAAUGACGGUACCUGACUAAGAAGCCCCGGCUAACUACGUGCCAGCAGCCGCGGUAAUACGUAGGGGGCAAGCGUUAUCCGGAUUUACUGGGUGUACAGGGCGCGUAGACGGCAGCGCAAGUCUGGAGUGAAAUCCCAUGGCUUAACCAUGGAACUGCUUUGGAAACUGUGCAGCUAGAGUGCAGGAGAGGUAAGCGGAAUUCCUAGGGUAGCGGUGAAAUGCGUAGAUAUUAGGAGGAACACCAGUGGCGAAGGCGGCUUACUGGACUGUAACUGACGUUGAGGCUCGAAAGCGUGGGGAGCAAACAGGAUUAGAUACCCCUGUAGUC
Molecule: ribosomal RNA, 440 nt
Filed under: uncultured bacterium
Lineage: Bacteria
Description: partial 16S ribosomal RNA
Rfam family: Bacterial small subunit ribosomal RNA
Source: RNAcentral